This 225-nucleotide ribosomal RNA is filed under the name Gambierdiscus australes. RNAcentral describes it as "partial Bacterial large subunit ribosomal RNA". It matches the Rfam family "Bacterial large subunit ribosomal RNA", at positions 584 to 810 of the family's 2925-position model. The record is from RNAcentral. Lineage: Eukaryota; Dinophyceae; Gonyaulacales; Pyrocystaceae.
ACUUGUUCUGUGACUGCGUACCUUUUGUAUAAUGGGUCAGCGACUUAUGUUCAGUGGCGAGGUUAACCGUUUAGGGGAGCCGUAGGGAAACCGAGUCUGAAUAGGGCGAUUUAGUCGCUGGGCAUAGACCCGAAACCGGGCGAUCUAUCCAUGAGCAGGUUGAAGGUGCCGUAACAGGCACUGGAGGACCGAACCCACUGUCUUUGAAAAGCCAGGGGAUGACUU